AGAGUUUGAUCAUGGCUCAGAACGAACGUUGGCGGCGUGGAUUAGGCAUGCAAGUCGAACGAGAAACCCUGGGCAACUGGGGUGGAAAGUGGCGAAAGGGGCAGUAAUGCGUGGGUAACCUACCUCGGGGACCGGCAUAGCCACUCUAACGGGUGGGUAAUUCCGGGCGAUUUGGCGAAGGCGCAUGUCUUUGUCAGGAA
RNAcentral lists this ribosomal RNA (200 nucleotides) under uncultured bacterium. RNAcentral's name for it is "partial 16S ribosomal RNA". It matches the Rfam family "Bacterial small subunit ribosomal RNA", at positions 8 to 204 of the family's 1533-position model. The record is from RNAcentral.